CGCGUGCAUCUGGGCCGUCCGUGCGAUUGCAUUUGGGCCGUCCGUGCGCACGCUUGAUCUGGGCUGUCCGUGCGCGCGGGGACGCAUCUGGACCGUCCGAUCGCGCGCACGCAGAUCACCCACGUGGCUCGUUCCCCGGUCGACGUGGUCUUGCCACGUGGCAGGUCCUGGUUGGUCAGGGUUGCUGACUGGGCCGCUGACGUAGCGCUGACGGG
RNAcentral lists this long non-coding RNA (215 nucleotides) under Carica papaya (papaya). RNAcentral describes it as "long non-coding RNA (CPAP_LNC011158)". The record is from RNAcentral. Lineage: Eukaryota; Viridiplantae; Streptophyta; Magnoliopsida; Brassicales; Caricaceae.